Molecule: unclassified non-coding RNA, 190 nt
Filed under: Glomeraceae sp.
Lineage: Eukaryota; Fungi; Glomeromycota; Glomeromycetes; Glomerales; Glomeraceae
Description: partial contains 5.8S ribosomal RNA and internal transcribed spacer 2
Rfam family: 5.8S ribosomal RNA (bases 1-71)
Source: RNAcentral
GUGAAUCAUCGAAUCUUUGAACGCAAAUUGCACUCUCGGGUAUUCCGGGGAGUAUGCCUGUUUGAGGGUCAGUUUAAAUAAAAAUCGGGGUUUUUGCCACCUUUGGCGGUGACGCGUCGGAAUUGGGUCGUCUUUACCUUUCUGUUAAGUGACUUAAAAUUAUUUGUAUGAUAUCUGAGAACGUAUUUAU